Molecule: ribosomal RNA, 252 nt
Filed under: uncultured bacterium
Lineage: Bacteria
Description: partial 16S ribosomal RNA
Rfam family: Bacterial small subunit ribosomal RNA
Source: RNAcentral
CGGACGGGUGAGUAAUGUCUGGGAAACUGCCUGAUGGAGGGGGAUAACACUGGAAACGGUAGCUAAUACCGCAUAACGUCGCAAGACCAAAGAGGGGGACCUUCGGGCCUCUUGCCAUCAGAUGUGCCCAGAUGGGAUUAGCUAGUAGGUGGGGUAACGGCUCACCUAGGCGACGAUCCCUAGCUGGUCUGAGAGGAUGACCAGCCACACUGGAACUGAGACACGGUCCAGACUCCUACGGGAGGCAGCAUG